Molecule: ribosomal RNA, 466 nt
Filed under: uncultured bacterium
Lineage: Bacteria
Description: partial 16S ribosomal RNA
Rfam family: Bacterial small subunit ribosomal RNA
Source: RNAcentral
CGAACGCUGGCGGCGUGCUUAACACAUGCAAGUCGAACGGAAGGGCCCUGCUUUUGUGGGGUGCUCGAGUGGCGAACGGGUGAGUAACACGUGAGUAACCUGCCCUUGACUUUGGGAUAACUUCAGGAAACUGGGGCUAAUACCGGAUAGGAGCUCCUGCUGCAUGGUGGGGGUUGGAAAGUUUCGGCGGUUGGGGAUGGACUCGCGGCUUAUCAGCUUGUUGGUGGGGUAGUGGCUUACCAAGGCUUUGACGGGUAGCCGGCCUGAGAGGGUGACCGGCCACAUUGGGACUGAGAUACGGCCCAGACUCCUACGGGAGGCAGCAGUGGGGAAUAUUGCACAAUGGGCGGAAGCCUGAUGCAGCAACGCCGCGUGCGGGAUGACGGCCUUCGGGUUGUAAACCGCUUUCGCCUGUGACGAAGCGUGAGUGACGGUAAUGGGUAAAGAAGCACCGGCUAACUACGUG